Carlito syrichta (Philippine tarsier) is the source of this 243-nucleotide long non-coding RNA. RefSeq lists it as uncharacterized. The record is from RefSeq and is a predicted model, not a curated record. The transcript has 4 exons. NCBI's taxonomy places the organism in Eukaryota, Metazoa, Chordata, Mammalia, Primates, Tarsiidae.
GCUGGGACACCCAGAAGCCGGGAGAUGGACUUGCUGUCUCUAAGCCAGACCUUAUUAUGUGUCUGGAGCAAAAGAAAGAGCCCUGGGAUAUGAAGAGACAUGGCACAUUAGCCAAACUUCCAGCUGUGACGCCUCAUUACACUGAAGGUCUUCUGCCAGAGAAGAGCAUAGAAGACUCACUUGUAAAGGUGCCGAUGGGAAAAUAUGUGAUCCAUACUGGAGAGAAACCCUACAAAUGUGAAG